UGAGAAGAGACUGUUGAGUUCCUAGCCUCGUAAGAUCGCUCUGUCAUCCCCUUUCAAGGCUGAAGGACUAUCACGGAAAAGAGGGUGGAAAGAACAUAAGAGCUAGAGGAAGAAGCUGUAUUCUGAGUAUGCUGUGUCCACAUCAUCGAGUGGGGAGUGACUGGCUCCCACAGCACAGAAGGAAAGAAUGGAAAGUUCUGGGGCCAUCAGGAUCUCCCUUCUCUUCCAGAUCAGUUACCAGUUACCCUCAGGCAACAUACUUGUGCUAAAGGAAAGCCAUGAAGAAAAGCAGCCUUCCUUAGAGAAGAAUCAGUGUUCUCUGAUGUGAUUGGGAACUGCUCCUUAAUGGACGUGCCUACCCCACUGCAUAUGCUGUGACUCACCUCUCCCUGAGGAUUGUUCCCUACUGGGCAUGUUCCCAUCCAGCCCUCCAGGCUGGCUUUGCAUUGGUUUUCCCCACAGGUGUUCUCUUGCACUGUUAACUGCUGGCUGUUCCCCUAUAUCCAUAUCAUGAGAGAUUACACAUUUUACAGGGACUAUAUCUUUCACUCUACCAGUAGUACAACAUGCAGUAAGGAUUUGUUGUGGAGUGUGAAUGCAUUAUCUUCCUAAGCAAGAUCUUAUGUGCACUCCCUCUUCCUAAGCAAGGAUCUUAUGUGCACUCCCUCUUUUGCUGUGACUUCAUCACAAGAGUGGCUGGCAUUGCACGUACCUCAUUCCCACACGUGUGUUCACAAUUACUAUUAUUCCCCUUGGGUCUCCCCCAGAAAGUCUCUGACAGACACUGUGUUGAUUACAGGUUCUUAUAACUAA
RNAcentral lists this long non-coding RNA (813 nucleotides) under Mus musculus (house mouse). RNAcentral's name for it is "predicted gene 15767, transcript variant 2 (Gm15767)". Lineage: Eukaryota; Metazoa; Chordata; Mammalia; Rodentia; Muridae. The record is from RNAcentral.